CUGGCUGCUGUGAAAGGCCAUUUCAGACGAGGACUUUCCAGCUCAGCAAUAACAGGGACGUUAUCGCUACUUUCUCCAUCUGAGGCUCCCCUGAAUCUGAAGUUCAGAGCCAAAACGUUUUGACUUCCCUUUCACUCCUGCGACAUGACAGGAGGAGUAUCGCUCUUCAGCCAAUCAGCUGCGUGACGCUGUGUAUUAUGGGAAAUGUAGUUCACCGUGGUUCUGGCUUUUUAAAAGGUUUUAUCUGCACAGAGCCGUGUGGUUGCAGAUUUUCAUUCCAACCAAGCAGGAGCACACCUGAUCAAUUGUUCGAAGACUGAGAACAACUGAUAGAUAUGUUGAAAGAGAAGAUUUGCAGCCAUCAGCCCUUCACAGGUUACACAGAGAAAGUGGGUUAAAGCUGCUGCCCUCUAGUGUACAAAUAAAAAAUGGCCUUGCACUGAAAAGAAAAUAAAAAACUUCCAUGUGCAUGUU
Long non-coding RNA from Colossoma macropomum (tambaqui), 474 nucleotides. RefSeq lists it as uncharacterized. Lineage: Eukaryota; Metazoa; Chordata; Actinopteri; Characiformes; Serrasalmidae. The transcript has 3 exons. The record is from RefSeq and is a predicted model, not a curated record.